RNAcentral lists this ribosomal RNA (253 nucleotides) under uncultured bacterium. RNAcentral's name for it is "partial 16S ribosomal RNA". It matches the Rfam family "Bacterial small subunit ribosomal RNA", at positions 524 to 776 of the family's 1533-position model. The record is from RNAcentral.
UACGUAGGGGGCAAGCGUUAUCCGGAUUUACUGGGUGUAAAGGGGGCGCAGACGGCGCGGCAAGUCCGGAGUGGAAUCCCAGGGCCCAACCCUGGGGCUGCUCUGGAAACUGCCGGGCUGGAGUGCUGGAGGGGCAGGCGGAAUUCCUAGUGUAGCGGUGAAAUGCGUAGAUAUCACGCAGAACCCCGAUUGCGAAGGCAGCCUUCCGGCGCCCUACUGACGCUGAGGCACGAAAGUGCGGGGAUCGAACAGG